Long non-coding RNA from Physcomitrium patens, 1621 nucleotides. RefSeq lists it as uncharacterized. The record is from RefSeq and is a predicted model, not a curated record. NCBI's taxonomy places the organism in Eukaryota, Viridiplantae, Streptophyta, Bryopsida, Funariales, Funariaceae.
AUCCUUAUUCAAACUAGCAACAUGAUAUAGAGUUGAAGUUUUCAAAGGUGCUGAACGAUGGCCCCUGAUUAGCUACCAUGGCUUGAGACGCUGCAUCUACACAAUGAACAUGUCGAAUGUAUUUCAGAUCAGAUCAUUUUUUUGUUCAGACCAUUCUCUCGGUUGGAGACUCGAGAAGUUGAAGAGAAUUAGAUUAGGUAACACCACAAACAUACGGCCUUCGGACGGAUGUAAAAGUUGAAGAAGGUAUAACUUACUGCUGCCCUUUGAGGAUCGUAUCAUAAAGUUCGUUAUUAUCGCUAGUAUGUGAACAUUUUCUUCUGUCAGCUCUUAAACAAUCUAUCAAACAGAGACAUGAGAAUCUGUUGCGAACUGGAAGCGGAGGACCCAAUCGAUGCGACUUAUAUCAUUUUCUUGCAUGGAAACUCACGAAGACCAGAGAAGUUGAUUGCCACGUUCGUUACCGAUAUUGCAAGCUGCAACGAGAGAGAUAAAAGUAGGUCAAAACUGGAUCCUAGUGAAAAUUAAGAUUGUAACUAAAAAAGAAAGCUGAUGCUGUGCAAACAUUGAAGAAUGAUGCCCUACCUGUAAGCUGAAGGUUCAUGACCAAAUUAGCCGUGUCUGCGACACCCACCAGCAGAUUCCAAGAUGAAAGUACACAUAGGACAAUCUAUAAAAUCUUUUGUCCCUGCUAAAACUAUGUUCACUUCAGAAUUGGUUGGUGAUGACGCUCUCAAAGCGAUAAAUCAUAAUAUAUCACUUUGCUAACACAUGCAUUCUGCGAAAACAGUCUUAUUAAUCCUAAUACGCAGGGAAUCAUUGGUUCUAACAACAAAAUUAAAGCAAGACAAGAGCAGAGCAGGCCUGUAGAAGAAGAGGUACUCGAUCAGUCUUGUUGCCCAGUCACUAGAGACCAUGGAGAAAGAAGUAUUUGUUAAUGACAGAAGUCUUUGAAACGAUAUCGUCGGUGCUUUGAAUAGGAAGACUCGGUGAAUGAGGAAAUAAAAAACCUCAGGACCGCAAAGUCCUGCAAAGUCGUGCCGUCCCAAGCUUAAUCUUCUGAAGCAGCACCAAAAAUCUUGUUGCGACUGAGUCUUUAUGACUCUGUACUCGUGCUUCAUUUAGCAUUCCAAAUGAUUUACAACCCAGAUGAGUUGUUGAAAUACACCCAAUUCCAGUUUCAAAUGUUCUUAAGUGCAAAGCUGUUGAUACCCAAGAGUCAACUGGCUUGGCAGUCUUUGGCAGGCAAGCUUAAAUGCUAUGAAAUAAGCAGUGAACUUAUGCUGCUAUUCAACAAGUAACUUCACUGCCUUCAGCCAAUAUUCACUGUUUAAAAUAUAUUCACCAUUACUGAAACUUAGCUCACAGCCAUGAUUAAGGGAGCUGCAGAAAGAGAUGGAAUAUUUCUCUUUGUAAGCACAGCCACUAGAAAUGCAAACUAAACUAGAAAGAGGUCUUCCUCCAAAUCAAGCCAUGUGAAUAGAAACUCAUAGACGUGUCUUGCUCAUUAUAAAAAUCUAGGUAAAAAAAAACUGGUGUUUAUCUGCGGAUGCAUCGGAUAUGAUAACAUUUCAGCAUAUAAUAUUCGCAAAGGCACAGCUAGUCGUUCAAUAUUAUAGCA